RNAcentral lists this ribosomal RNA (478 nucleotides) under uncultured bacterium. RNAcentral's name for it is "partial 16S ribosomal RNA". It matches the Rfam family "Bacterial small subunit ribosomal RNA", at positions 28 to 523 of the family's 1533-position model. The record is from RNAcentral.
GACGAACGCUGGCGGCGUGCUUAACGCAUGCAAGUCGAACGGUAAGGCCCUUCGGGGUACACGAGUGGCGAACGGGUGAGUAACACGUGGGUGAUCUGCCCUGCACUUCGGGAUAAGCCUGGGAAACUGGGUCUAAUACCGGAUAGGACCACUGCCUGCAUGGGUGGUGGUGGAAAGCUUUUGCGGUGUGGGAUGGGCCCGCGGCCUAUCAGCUUGUUGGUGGGGUGAUGGCAUACCAAGGCGACGACGGGUAGCCGGCCUGAGAGGGUGGCCGGCCACACUGGGACUGAGAUACGGCCCAGACGCCGACGGGAGGCAGCAGUGGGGAAUAUUGCACAAUGGGCGCAAGCCUGAUGCAGCGACGCCGCGUGAGGGAUGACGGCCUUCGGGUUGUAAACCUCUUUCAGCACCGACGAAGCGCAAGUGACGGUAGGUGCAGAAGAAGGACCGGCCAACUACGUGCCAGCCGCCGCAGUAA